UUCUGCCAGUUUUUCUUCUCCUCUUUCUACAUUUUUUUUCCCGUGUGUUUGUUGGGUUUUCAGCUUUAGUUCAAUAUGCUCUUUUAGUUGCUUCUAUUUAUUUCGUAAUUGUACUGCAUUUUAGUUAGUGUGGAGCUGGUUCCCAUAACUUGAUUGGUGAAUGUCUGUUAGUUGUUUGACUUAAUGAUUCAUGAAUAUGUAGUUUUUUUCUAGCAGUGACAUAACUCACAUGAGUGUAUACGUUUUAGGGCUAUUUGAUCACUUUAUUUAUUUUCUUUAUAAGUUCUAAGAUUUUCUUCUACUCUAUGCACCGAAUAUCACUAAAAAUUUCAUAGGGCAGAUAAAGCUAGAAAUGCGGGCUUGAAGGUGCAAAAUAGUUAUUUGAAAACUAUUUCAAGCAAAUGCACAUUUUCCACACGCCAUGGCAAUGCUUCAAUUUAACAGCUAAUUGAGGUAAAAUAUGUUUCUGGUCUCAUCUAAACUUUUAUUAGAAUUUACAACUUUUUCCAAUAAUUUAUUUUCACAUUUGAUAUAGUUAUAUUUGAUGUAAAAUAUUCACAUAGUUUAUCAUUUUGCGAUCAAACUUUUUAAUUUUGAUGUUAAUGAUGCUUCAUGGUUGUGCUCAAAGAAGACUUAUUGAAGAGAGGUUGGGCUAUAUCUCUAAACUUUCCACAUUUCAGCAAAUGCCACCUACAACAAAGGCCAAGUAUUCAACCUCGGAUGACGCCUGAAUGUUCUUUUAGAGGUCAUUCUGUCUAAACAUUUAACAUGGUCGAUGACCUUUUGAUUAGAUUAUUUCUCUUCGCAGUUAAUUCUCUCUUUCAAUUUCAUUGUCUGCAGUAGGUCUUUGAUUGGGAUAACCGAGAGAAGAUAUUUAUUGAAAUUGAGGGGAUACUAGAAGACAGAUUAAGGUUUUUUGCCAAACGCUGCUAAGAGGAACGCAGCAAAGGAGGCAAAAUACAAAAAACACAAUACCAGUUCCAAUAAGUAACUAGCAUAGCCUGUACAUAGUUUUCGAAAUUAUGUGAUUUAAAUAAUGCAUAUAUCUUAUACUUACCAUGCUGGCACGGGACUGCAUCAAGCUAUUAAUAUGUAGGAAGUUUGAUUCGUA
Long non-coding RNA from Lycium barbarum (goji berry), 1111 nucleotides. RefSeq lists it as uncharacterized. NCBI's taxonomy places the organism in Eukaryota, Viridiplantae, Streptophyta, Magnoliopsida, Solanales, Solanaceae. The record is from RefSeq and is a predicted model, not a curated record. The transcript has 2 exons.